This 334-nucleotide unclassified non-coding RNA is filed under the name soil metagenome. Its description in RNAcentral is "partial contains 5.8S ribosomal RNA, internal transcribed spacer 2, and large subunit ribosomal RNA". The stretch from base 1 to 120 matches the Rfam family "5.8S ribosomal RNA", at positions 35 to 154 of the family's 154-position model. The record is from RNAcentral.
GAUGAAGAACGUAGCGAAAUGCGAUAAGUAUUGUGAAUUGCAGAAUCCAGUGAAUCAUCGAAUCUUUGAACGCACAUUGCGCCCGCCAGCACUCUGGCGGGCAUGCCUGUUCGAGCGUCAUUUCAACCAUCAAGCCCCAGGCUUGCGUUGGAGCCCUGCGGCUGCCGCAGCCUCCUAAAAGCAGUGGCGGGCUCGCUAUCACACCGAGUGCAGUAGAUUACUCUUCGCUCAGGGCGUGCAGCGGGUUCCGGCCGUGAAACCCCCUACUUUUAAAGGUUGACCUCGGAUCAGGUAGGAAUACCCGCUGAACUUAAGCAUAUCAAUAAGCGGAGGA